Molecule: ribosomal RNA, 245 nt
Filed under: uncultured bacterium
Lineage: Bacteria
Description: partial 16S ribosomal RNA
Rfam family: Bacterial small subunit ribosomal RNA
Source: RNAcentral
ACUUAGCGGCGGACGGGUGAGUAACGCGUGGGUAACCUGCCUUACACUGGGGGAUAACAGUUAGAAAUGACUGCUAAUACCGCAUAAGCGCACAGGGGCCGCAUGGCCUGGUGUGAAAAACUCCGGUGGUGUAAGAUGGACCCGCGUCUGAUUAGGUAGUUGGUGGGGUAACGGCCCACCAAGCCGACGAUCAGUAGCCGACCUGAGAGGGUGACCGGCCACAUUGGGACUGAGACACGGCCCAA